RNAcentral lists this small RNA (311 nucleotides) under Vulpes vulpes (red fox). RNAcentral describes it as "7SK RNA (ENSVVUG00000021391.1)". The stretch from base 60 to 300 matches the Rfam family "7SK RNA". Rfam says of the family: 7SK was discovered as an abundant small nuclear RNA in the mid-70s but a possible function has only recently been suggested. Two independent studies have found that 7SK RNA binds the CDK9/cyclin T complex (known as elongation factor P-TEFb). Lineage: Eukaryota; Metazoa; Chordata; Mammalia; Carnivora; Canidae. The record is from Rfam by way of RNAcentral.
UGUGAGGGUGCCUUACUUGUGGCCUUCCUCUCUCUGUGGUGGGACUGAUGCCGCCCAUCGGGCUCGCUAGGCAGACAACCCCUUUCCCUCCUCACCGGAAGCUUUGUGCUUGGUGCAAGAAGUCAGUCUCCUUCUCAAAUAAACAAGGACCAUCCUUCUGACUUGGAUAUGUGGGAAAUUGUGCUCCUCUGCUAAUCCUUCCAAAUGAUCCCUCAAGGUCCAAGAAGGAACUUGCAGGGUGUUUGUGAGGGGCAGAUGACAUCACAGAUAUAAAACACUCUGUAAACCCUGAGGGUUUCUUCCAUUUGGUU